This 461-nucleotide ribosomal RNA is filed under the name uncultured Thauera sp. Its description in RNAcentral is "bacterial SSU rRNA". It matches the Rfam family "Bacterial small subunit ribosomal RNA", at positions 919 to 1382 of the family's 1533-position model. Lineage: Bacteria; Pseudomonadati; Pseudomonadota; Betaproteobacteria; Rhodocyclales; Zoogloeaceae. The record is from RNAcentral.
ACCCGCACAAGCGGUGGAUGAUGUGGAUUAAUUCGAUGCAACGCGAAAACCUUACCUACCCUUGACAUGUCUGGAACCUUGCUGAGAGGCGAGGGUGCCUUCGGGAGCCAGAACACAGGUGCUGCAUGGCUGUCGUCAGCUCGUGUCGUGAGAUGUUGGGUUAAGUCCCGCAACGAGCGCAACCCUUGUCAUUAGUUGCCAUCAUUUAGUUGGGCACUCUAAUGAGACUGCCGGUGACAAACCGGAGGAAGGUGGGGAUGACGUCAAGUCCUCAUGGCCCUUAUGGGUAGGGCUUCACACGUCAUACAAUGGUCGGUACAGAGGGUUGCCAAGCCGCGAGGUGGAGCCAAUCCCUUAAAGCCGAUCGUAGUCCGGAUCGUAGUCUGCAACUCGACUGCGUGAAGUUGGAAUCGCUAGUAAUCGUAGAUCAGCAUGCUACGGUGAAUACGUUCCCGGGCCUU